RNAcentral lists this unclassified non-coding RNA (329 nucleotides) under soil metagenome. RNAcentral's name for it is "partial contains 5.8S ribosomal RNA, internal transcribed spacer 2, and large subunit ribosomal RNA". The stretch from base 1 to 120 matches the Rfam family "5.8S ribosomal RNA", at positions 35 to 154 of the family's 154-position model. The record is from RNAcentral.
GAUGAAGAACGCAGCGAAAUGCGAUAAGUAAUGUGAAUUGCAGAAUUCAGUGAAUCAUCGAAUCUUUGAACGCACAUUGCGCCCCCUGGUAUUCCGGGGGGCAUGCCUGUCCGAGCGUCAUUACAACCCUCAAGCUCAGCUUGGUAUUGGGCCCCGCCGACCCGGCGGGCCCUAAAGUCAGUGGCGGUGCCGUCCGGCUCCGAGCGUAGUAUUUCUUCUCGCUCUGGAGGUCCGGUCGUGUGCUCGCCAGCAACCCCCAAUUUUUUUCAGGUUGACCUCGGAUCAGGUAGGGAUACCCGCUGAACUUAAGCAUAUCAAUAAGCGGAGGA